This 451-nucleotide ribosomal RNA is filed under the name Streptococcus mitis. RNAcentral describes it as "bacterial SSU rRNA". It matches the Rfam family "Bacterial small subunit ribosomal RNA", at positions 28 to 465 of the family's 1533-position model. The record is from RNAcentral. Lineage: Bacteria; Bacillati; Bacillota; Bacilli; Lactobacillales; Streptococcaceae.
GACGAACGCUGGCGGCGUGCCUAAUACAUGCAAGUAGAACGCUGAAGGAGGAGCUUGCUUCUUUGGAUGAGUUGCGAACGGGUGAGUAACGCGUAGGUAACCUGCCUGGUAGCGGGGGAUAACUAUUGGAAACGAUAGCUAAUACCGCAUAAUAGCAGUUAUUGCAUGAUAACUGUUUGAAAGGUGCAAUUGCAUCACUACCAGAUGGACCUGCGUUGUAUUAGCUAGUUGGUGGGGUAACGGCUCACCAAGGCGACGAUACAUAGCCGACCUGAGAGGGUGAUCGGCCACACUGGGACUGAGACACGGCCCAGACUCCUACGGGAGGCAGCAGUAGGGAAUCUUCGGCAAUGGACGGAAGUCUGACCGAGCAACGCCGCGUGAGUGAAGAAGGUUUUCGGAUCGUAAAGCUCUGUUGUAAGAGAAGAACGAGUGUGAGAGUGGAAAGUUC